This is a non-coding RNA of Doryrhamphus excisus (bluestripe pipefish), 669 nucleotides long. NCBI's taxonomy places the organism in Eukaryota, Metazoa, Chordata, Actinopteri, Syngnathiformes, Syngnathidae. The record is from RefSeq and is a predicted model, not a curated record.
GUGUUUAGAUUCUGUUCCACAGAUGGCGGUAAUGCACACGAAAGCUGAUUGCCAACCGCCAAUAAACAACAGAAGAAGAAAAACACGACGAAGAAGAAGAACGAACCCCAACAACUUUCAGUUCAAACGGUCUCCCCAACUCUACCUGACUGGGAUACCUUCAUCUGAGGAUUUUAUGGGGGCCCAAAGGUGCAGGGAAGAAAUGGUCCGGCUUAACUCCGGAGGGAAGCCAUAGAUGGGCUUGACCUUUUGCAGCGUGUCAAGCAAAGAAACCUGGCGGGAAAAGAGAGAGAACCCUCCAAGGCAGAUGCUGCUGAGGAUGGGAAGCCUUAAUGUCAUGCAUAUUGUAAUGAGACGAGCUCCACCUAUGGACCACCUGUUGAACUGCAGUCCUGUAUGUAAAUACAGUAUAAUCAAGCAUCUUGGUGGUAAAAUGGUAAUACGAGUGUUGAGACACUUCAUUUUUUCAUAUUUUUUUCAUUUUUUCACAGCAUGACUGGGCUUUCAUUGUUUAUUAUGACUUUAUUAUGAUUUUUUGGGGAGUUUUUCUGUUUGGAGUGUGGUUUGAAAAAACUAAGUGAUCUCUGACCUCACCAAAUGCUCUCCAAGCACUCCAACAUAUUAUAGGUCGUUAAGUCGUUUACAUACAUUAAUUGACUAAAAAAUUGA